Molecule: non-coding RNA, 185 nt
Filed under: Priestia megaterium
Lineage: Bacteria; Bacillati; Bacillota; Bacilli; Caryophanales; Bacillaceae
Also listed under: 1 other name
Description: Bacillus megaterium Lysine sequence
Rfam family: Lysine riboswitch aptamer
About the family: Riboswitches are metabolite binding domains within certain messenger RNAs that serve as precision sensors for their corresponding targets. Allosteric rearrangement of mRNA structure is mediated by ligand binding, and this results in modulation of gene expression. This family includes riboswitches that sense lysine in a number of genes involved in lysine metabolism, including lysC.
Source: RNAcentral
CGAUGAGGUAGAGGUCGCAGUUUUUAAUAGUAAAGCAACGGAAAUGCAGAGAACAUUGAGGAUGUUGCUUGAAAGGAAAAAUUGCCGAAGUUUAGAUCACUUCUCGGUUGAUUUAAGCUGGGGCUGUCUCCGAACAGGAACAGAACUGUCACAUCAUGCAAGUGAUGUGAAGAGCUAUCUUCACG